UUGGAUAUUGCAGCAACUAGUAUGGAUGCAGAUCUCAGCCAAUGGAUUAUGAAGCACUACGACCCUGAGAUGUCCCAAAUCGUUAUACCAGAUAGGAGGAAGAUUCCUAUUGAUGCAAUGAGCGUGAAUCGAAUUUGGGGAUUGCCAAAUAGGGGCAGGAAGGUUUGCUUUGAGAAUCAUCCUGACAUCACAAAGGCCAUUUACAGCAUCUACAAUAUCACCACCAAGAACUCACCAACCCUCACAGCAUGGUGUAAGAUGAUUGGAAAUAUGAAUGGAGCUCACGAUGAUGAUUUCCUUCGUGAUUGGUUAGUAGUUGCCUUUUCCCGCUUCCUUGCACCAUCAACAAGUCUAAGCAUCUCGCCAAAAAGAUUCCCUGUUGUCAUGGAUGUCAAUGGUAUAACAGAGACGAAUGUUUGUGAGUUUAUUGUUGAUCAAUUAAAGGCAUCAUUCAAAGAUGCGGGUGUCAAGAAGAAUGUUGUAUGA
Molecule: ribosomal RNA, 486 nt
Filed under: Triticum aestivum (bread wheat)
Lineage: Eukaryota; Viridiplantae; Streptophyta; Magnoliopsida; Poales; Poaceae
Description: partial small subunit ribosomal RNA
Source: RNAcentral